RNAcentral lists this long non-coding RNA (247 nucleotides) under Gossypium raimondii (Peruvian cotton). RNAcentral's name for it is "long non-coding RNA (GRAI_LNC007919)". The record is from RNAcentral. Lineage: Eukaryota; Viridiplantae; Streptophyta; Magnoliopsida; Malvales; Malvaceae.
UCAAGGGUUUCAUUUGUCCUCUUGAUUUUCGUUUGAUCAAGUGUCGAAUCAGGUAAGUGUAAGUGUCAUUUUGUUUAUUUUUACAAUGGUUCUUUGAUUCUUUUAUAUUUGGUUUUGACCCAAAUUCUUAUAGGUUUAGUAUGUUGUGAAAUUGAGUUUUCAAAUCGGUAGAAUAGAGGCGUAUCAAUCGAUAUUUGGUGCUUGGAAGCGCUUUUUCAGGUGUGUUUAUUGAAAACUUGUAGUCGGG